Molecule: ribosomal RNA, 859 nt
Filed under: uncultured bacterium
Lineage: Bacteria
Description: bacterial SSU rRNA
Rfam family: Bacterial small subunit ribosomal RNA
Source: RNAcentral
AGAGUGAACGCUGGCGGCGUGCCUAACACAUGCAAGUCGAACGAGAACGGGUAUUAGUUUACUAAUACUGUCAGCUAAGUGGCGCACGGGUGAGUAAUAUAUAGUUAAUCUGCCCCAAAGAAGAGAAUAAUUGUUGGAAACGACUUGUAAUGCUCUAUAUGCCUUUAUUACAUAAGUAAGCAAGGGAAACACUUAUGGCUUUGGGAUGAGACUGUACGGUAUCAGUUUGUUGGUGAGGUAAUGGCUCACCAAGACUAUGACGCCUAACUGGUUUGAGAGGAUGAUCAGUCACACUGGAACUGAGACACGGUCCAGACUCCUACGGGAGGCAGCAGUGGGGAAUAUUGCACAAUGGAGGAAACUCUGAUGCAGCAACGCCGCGUGGAGGAUGACACAUUUCGGUGCGUAAACUCCUUUUAUUAGGGAAGAUAAUGACGGUACCUAAUGAAUAAGCACCGGCUAACUCCGUGCCAGCAGCCGCGGUAAUACGGGGGGUGCAAGCGUUACUCGGAAUCACUGGGCGUAAAGAGCAUGUAGGCUGGUUUGUAAGUUGGAAGUGAAAUCCUAUGGCUUAACCAUAGAACUGCUUCCAAAACUGCAGACCUAGAGUAUGGGAGAGGUAGAUGGAAUUUCUGGUGUAGGGGUAAAAUCCGUAGAGAUCAGAAGGAAUACCGAUUGCGAAGGCGAUCUACUGGAACAUUACUGACGCUGAGAUGCGAAAGCGUGGGGAGCAAACAGGAUUAGAUACCCUGGUAGUCCACGCCCUAAACGAUGCACACUAGUUGUUGCUAUGCUAGACAUAGCAGUAAUGCAGUUAACACAGUAAGUGUGCCGCCUGGGGAGUACGGUCGCAAGAUUA